GCGGCGGGCGGAACCACCGCUGCCCGAAGCGAGUGGCCUUACUUGGAGCUGAGAGCGCCUGGCUUUCCACAGGAACCCCCCAUCCCCGCUCUGGCGCCUGCGCACUGGGGAGAAGACAACAGACCAGGGUCGGGACGGGAGGCGAGUUCAGUAGGGCGUGUGCCCAGAAGUAAGGAGCUGGUCUGCCAGCCUGCCUGCGUGUCUCGCUGAGCCAGCGCCCCGGCCCCUUCAGCUGCAGCUGUUGACGCUGACACCAUGUCCAAGUCCUUGAAGAAAAUCGUGGAGGAGAGUAGGGAGAAGAAUAUCUUGGAGGUGGACAUGUGUGACCGAGGAAUCUCUAACAUGCUGGACAUAUCAGGCUUGUUCACUCUGUCUCACAUCACACAGCUGGUUCUCAGCCACAACAAGCUCACAACUGUGCCUCCAAACAUUGCGGACCUAAGGAAUUUAGAAGUGCUCAACUUUUUCAACAAUCAGAUUGAGGAGCUGCCCACUCAGAUUAGCAGCCUUCAGAAACUGAAACACUUGAACCUGGGGAUGAACAGGCUCAACUCCUUGCCCCGAGGCUUUGGCUCCUUACCAGCUCUUGAGGUUCUUGACUUGACUUACAAUAACUUAAAUGAAAAUUCCCUGCCUGGAAACUUCUUCUAUCUAACCACCCUGCGUGCACUCUAUCUAAGUGACAACGAUUUUGAAACCCUGCCACCAGAUAUUGGGAAGCUCACAAAGUUGCAGAUACUUAGUCUUAGAGAUAAUGACCUGAUAUCACUCCCUAAAGAAAUUGGUGAACUCACUCAGCUUAAAGAACUUCAUAUCCAGGGGAACCGUCUUACUGUGCUGCCUCCGGAACUAGGUAACUUGGAUUUGACUGGUCAAAAGCAAGUCUUCAAAGCAGAAAAUAAUCCAUGGGUCACCCCUAUUGCGGAUCAGUUCCAGCUGGGCAUUUCUCAUGUGUUUGAAUAUAUUCGGUCAGAAACAUACAAGUACUUGUUAUACUGACAGAAAAGUCUCUGAGGACUGAAAGGCAACCAGUUCAGAGUUGAAGCUGUGUAACAUUUACAUAUCUUUGCACUCCUUUAUGGAAGACACAUGCAAGCAAACCCCGAACCUCCAAAGAAGAACAACGACAAGUCCAAGAAGAUCAGUCGUAAGCCUCUAGCUGCCAAGAACAAGUAAACAUCUGCCAUGACAUGCCAAUCUUCGAAAGUCUUUGUUUUGCAUGUGCCUUUUUUUUACAGAUUUCCUAAAGAAGUUGUUUUAUAAAAUAAACGCAAGGAUAUCUUUUUAUAUCUAGAGCUUUUCACACAGUUUCAACUGCCUUGGUUAAUCAAUUCAUUAUUAUAAUGAUUAGCGAUUACCACUUCUAUCACGUAGCCAUUUAAUCCACUAUAAACCACUUUAGCUACUCUCGAAACACGUAUGCAAUGCCUUUGACUUGACUAAUCCACACAGCUGGCUACACUUUAUUAUUGCACCAGCCCAUGUAGCAUUCAUGUUUUAUGUAAUGCCCUAAAUUUGUUAAUAAAACCGUUUUUGUACCAUA
RNA transcript from Hemicordylus capensis (graceful crag lizard), 1543 nucleotides. It is a transcript of the gene named Ras suppressor protein 1, with no coding region annotated. Lineage: Eukaryota; Metazoa; Chordata; Lepidosauria; Squamata; Cordylidae. The record is from RefSeq and is a predicted model, not a curated record. The transcript has 10 exons.